This 253-nucleotide ribosomal RNA is filed under the name uncultured bacterium. Its description in RNAcentral is "partial 16S ribosomal RNA". It matches the Rfam family "Bacterial small subunit ribosomal RNA", at positions 524 to 776 of the family's 1533-position model. The record is from RNAcentral.
UACGGAGGGUGCAAGCGUUGUCCGGAAUCACUGGGCGUAAAGGGCGCGUAGGCGGCCUGGUAAGUAGGGGGUGAAAUCCUGCGGCUUAACCGCAGGGCUGCCUUCUAAACUGUCAGGCUUGAGCACGGUAGAGGCAGAUGGAAUUCCCGGUGUAGCGGUGGAAUGCGUAGAGAUCGGGAAGAACAUCAGUGGCGAAGGCGGUCUGCUGGGCCGUUGCCGACGCUGAGGCGCGACAGCGUGGGGAGCAAACAGG